AGCAUUCUCUCUUUUUCUCACUGUGUCUCUUCCGCAAAAAGCUUCUUCUCUUCUCUCUUCCCCGACAAGCUUCUUCUCCGCGAGCUUCUCCGACAGCCCUUGGACCCAUUUGCUUUCGAGAUCAUGGCCAGAACACGAGGUUUAGGUCGUGCCAUAGGUAGAUUUGUAGGCAGAGAUAGAGCUGCUGGCGAGGAUGCUGGCGAUGUUCCCGAGAGGCGUAGGCCUACUGCCUCAGCCCGUAGGCUACGCGUUCAUCAGAUGACUACGGAGGGAC
This is a long non-coding RNA of Glycine soja, 274 nucleotides long. RefSeq lists it as uncharacterized. The record is from RefSeq and is a predicted model, not a curated record. The transcript has 2 exons. Lineage: Eukaryota; Viridiplantae; Streptophyta; Magnoliopsida; Fabales; Fabaceae.